Molecule: non-coding RNA, 1514 nt
Organism: Pelobates cultripes (western spadefoot toad)
Lineage: Eukaryota; Metazoa; Chordata; Amphibia; Anura; Pelobatidae
Source: the annotation of a GenBank genome assembly
GCCAGGUCCUCUUUUAAAUUGUAAUACAUAAAAAAAAAAGAAAAAAAUGUUUGAUUAAUUUUUCAGGCUCUCUUUAAAAAGCAACCCUGUAAACACUAUAACAACUUUAGCUCAUUAAAGUGGUUAUAGUGUCUGGAGUUGCUUACGUCCAGCUUAAUGCCGCAUAAGAGUCCGCAGAAACCCAUCCCCUUUGUGCUGCUUGGGCUAAUAAGCAAACAUUAGCUUGAGCAGUAAUGGAUAGCUGGGAGUGACUGAGUGCCAGCUGACCACUUUCAGCCUAUCACAGCACCCAUUGCAGGUAUGAAUUGGUAUGGCAUGGCUAGAAGGAAAUGUUAAAUCUCUGCCUUAGCCAUUCUUCUCUGUGGGUGGCCAGAAACCCUUAUUUAGUAUUAAACUGCUAAAAAUGGUUUAAAACUGAAUUGUGGGACUGCACUAGAAGAAAUUCAAUGAGACAGUAGUGCUACUAUUGCUUAAAAUGUCCCUUUACAAUAGGCUGUCAUGCCUAAUAUUCUCCCAUGUUUUGAUUCAUGCUCUUUACUUCGCUGCCAUAGGUGGAGUGAAAAGAAUAUCAUGUAGGCCACGCUCCAUUUUUGAUCUUCUUAGAGACAGUACUCAAAUGCCAUGACAUGUGGGCAAAGUAUGCUUCCAAUAUGUGCACACGAGACAUGUUUUCUCUUCGGAUAUUGGCUUUAUCCAGCAAAAAAGGCAUAUCAGAGGAAAAAGUAAGUUGUGCUGGAUGUAAUAUACAUGGGUGGCAUAAAGAAAGUAGAACAGAGGGGAGAGAGAUGUAUGGACUCCUGACUGUCUCCCUUCUCUCCCUCCUAUUUCUAACAGUAUUUCACUGGAUUCCGACAAUAUUCAACAAGUUUUAGAAACUUACAAUAAAAAGAAAUGUAAAAAAAAAAAAAACACUUGAAAAUUGAAAAAGUUUUAUAUUUUAAUCAACUGCAUCAUACACACACGCAUAACACAAAAAAACCCCACCCUUACGAAAUCCUAAUAAACAGCAUAAUUAAAAAAGCAGAUCAUUAAGUACAAAGAAAGAUAAAAGAAAUAAUAAAAUGGAGACACACUGUAUUGCAAAGUAAAUACUGCUCGCUCUGCAGUCAGGUCACUGAAACAGUCAUAAGGGCAGAGAUAUGCCAUGAAUUCUGUUUAAAAAAAAAAAUAAAAAAAAAUUUAAAACACAAACAAAUCAAAAAGAAUAUUGCAAACAAGGGGACUCCAGAAAUGUCUGCACACAAACUGCAGUUUAUACAGAUAACGUGAAGGCUGCCAUUUGUUUUUCAAGGCUACAUUAUAAGGACACUGAAUGAUUGCAAAAAACAUGAAGAAAAAAAAAAAAAAUCAAUUUCAGUGCAAUAAGAGUCAAAAUGUCGACUACAGAUUAAUUUAUCUAAUAGGAAGCCUUUUGAAUUGUAUAUUCCAUCACCAGUCAUUGACUUUCACAUAGGAAUAACAAUUAUUGUUCAAUGUUGAUAGGAGGAAGUUGCAUAGGAGUCCUCAUCGUGUCU